This 333-nucleotide ribosomal RNA is filed under the name uncultured alga. RNAcentral describes it as "eukaryotic LSU rRNA". The stretch from base 1 to 105 matches the Rfam family "5.8S ribosomal RNA", at positions 50 to 154 of the family's 154-position model. The record is from RNAcentral.
GAAAUGCGAUACUUAAUGUGAAUUGCAGAAUUCCGUGAAUCAUCGAGUUUUUGAACGCAUAUUGCGCCCAAGGUUUCGGCCGAGGGCAUGCCUGCCUCAGCGUCGGUUGACCCCUCUCUCCUCCUUCGAAAGAAGGAAGAGGACCUGGCAGUCUCGCUGGCGACAGCGGGUCUGCUGCAGACCAGACGACGUCGCGGUGAAGCGCUCCCGUGCUGGAUUGGUAGGUCUUUACUCGAGACAUGCCUAUCCAGUGCAGCUUCAGCGCACGUGAACAACCAACCUGGGUCGUGUAAAAGCGGCUCAGGCUUUCUCAGUUCGACCUGAGUUCAGGCA